AUGCAUCAGAGACCUGGGCAGGGGCUGGAAUUCAUCGCCAGCAUCUACUACGGCAGUGGGGGUUACACCUUCUACGCGCCGUCGCUGCUGGAGUGCGGGGGGGACCUCCAGCCCCCCGGGGGGUCCCUGCGCCUCCUCUGCCGAGGGUCCGGGUUCAUUUUCGGGGAUUAUGGAAUGUACUGGAUCCGCCAGAGACCCGGGCAGGCUUUGGAAUACGUCGCAGGACUCCACUACAAUAGUGCCAACACCAUCUACGCGCCAUCGGUCAAGGGCCGGGUCACGAUCUCCAGGGACAACGGGCAGAGCUCGGUGACGCUGACCAUGAACAACCUCAAGGACGAGGAUUCCGCCGUUUAUUUCUGCGCCAAGUGUGCUGCUAAUAAUUACCCUGAACAUGCUGCUCGGUCACGGCCGCCCGGAGCCUUGCGGGACAAAGGGCAGAUGGGGAUGAAGCCAAAGCUCAACCCUUGA
Melozone crissalis (California towhee) is the source of this 471-nucleotide non-coding RNA. The record is from the annotation of a RefSeq genome assembly. Lineage: Eukaryota; Metazoa; Chordata; Aves; Passeriformes; Passerellidae.